UACAGAGGUCCCAAGCGUUGUUCGGAUUCACUGGGCGUAAAGGGUGCGCAGGUGGCUGUGUAAGUUUGAUGUGAAAUCUCCGGGCUCAACCCGGAAAUGGCAUUGAAUACUACAUGGCUGGAGGUUUGGAGGGGGGACUGGAAUUCUCGGUGUAGCAGUGAAAUGCGUAGAGAUCGGGAAGAACAUCGGUGGCGAAAGCGCUCUACUGGACGGUGUCUGACACUCAGGGACGAAAGCUAGGGGAGCGAAUGGG
Molecule: ribosomal RNA, 253 nt
Filed under: uncultured bacterium
Lineage: Bacteria
Description: partial 16S ribosomal RNA
Rfam family: Bacterial small subunit ribosomal RNA
Source: RNAcentral